GGGUCUGUAGCUCAGCUUGGUUAGAGCGCACCCCUGAUAAGGGUGAGGUCGGUGAUUCGAGUUCACCCAGACCCACCA
RNAcentral lists this transfer RNA (78 nucleotides) under bacterium. RNAcentral describes it as "tRNA-Ile". It matches the Rfam family "tRNA". Rfam says of the family: Transfer RNA (tRNA) molecules are approximately 80 nucleotides in length. Their secondary structure includes four short double-helical elements and three loops (D, anti-codon, and T loops). Further hydrogen bonds mediate the characteristic L-shaped molecular structure. tRNAs have two regions of fundamental functional importance: the anti-codon, which is responsible for specific mRNA codon recognition, and the 3' end, to which the tRNAs corresponding amino acid is attached (by aminoacyl-tRNA synthetases). tRNAs cope with the degeneracy of the genetic code in two manners: having more than one tRNA (with a specific anti-codon) for a particular amino acid; and 'wobble' base-pairing, i.e. permitting non-standard base-pairing at the 3rd anti-codon position. The record is from RNAcentral. RNAcentral also lists the same sequence under 2 other names.